AUGUUGCUGCUAUCACCGCUGCUGUUAUCCGUGGGGUUGCUGCUGCUGAUGGUAUCGCCGCUGCUGUUGUCCAUGGGGUUGCUGCUGCUGAUGGUAAUGGUAUCGCUGCUGCUGCUGCUGUUGUUUGUGGGGUUGGUCUCGCUGUUGCUUAGCAGGUCUUCGUCCUGGUGGCAGUGCUCCUUGCAUCUGCUUUUCAUUAUGUGGGGCUUGAGCUUGCUCAUGUCUGAUAGCCGUACUGGUUUCAGGAAGAACUCAUUUGCUCCUUCCUCCAGGCAUCUGAUUCAGAACAAACAAAACAGCAAUUGUCAGAGUUCAUUCUAA
Molecule: ribosomal RNA, 321 nt
Filed under: Triticum aestivum (bread wheat)
Lineage: Eukaryota; Viridiplantae; Streptophyta; Magnoliopsida; Poales; Poaceae
Description: partial small subunit ribosomal RNA
Source: RNAcentral